UAGCAAUAGGUCUCCGAUUCAUGAAUUGC
RNAcentral lists this small RNA (29 nucleotides) under Bombyx mori (domestic silkworm). Its description in RNAcentral is "piRNA piR-bmo-1905665". Lineage: Eukaryota; Metazoa; Arthropoda; Insecta; Lepidoptera; Bombycidae. The record is from RNAcentral.